ACAGCCUCUGAUACUGUGCAGAAACCAGAACCUGGGACCUUUGGAAACUGUAGAGAUGGCAAAGGAGAACAGUAACUGAAGUGAAUUCAACGACAGCGAUAUGGUCACAUCAACAGACAUAAAGUGGCAGCUUUGUCAUAUCAGAGGCUGCACUUGGAGUCGAUUUCGUACAAGCCUGUGAAGAGCUGGGGAGAGAACCCACAGUUUCAAACAACAUUUCAGCAAACUUCUUGGACAUUUUAAUCAGGUACUGUCUGACUCACUGAAGUCGAGAAUCCCUGUGGCUGACCUGUAUAAAGUAGACUGCCUUGCGUGCCUCGGCUCCGCCUGUCGCCACCUCCCCAGUGUCAGGGUUUCAGGCACACACUGCCACACCCAGCUUUCGACACCAGUGCUAGGGAUCAGAACUUACGUCUUUUCCUGUGAGCCGCCACCACAGCCCCACCUGACGUCCUUUUGUGACCUGCAGAGUCUAUGGUGGCUUUCUUUUUGUUGCUGAUACUGGGAAAUGUGUCAUCUGGGAAGCCUUCUUCAUUCCGUUCAUCCACUCCCUCCACGUGUUAUCUGCUGAGCAGCGACCACACGCCAAGUACUGUUCUGGAUGCUGGUGGCUCAGCGCUGGAAGAAGACAGGCAUGCAGCUUGAGAUCUUGACAAGAGCCGUAGCCCACAAGAAGAGGAUUUUCUCUCCCUCCAAAAAAACCAACUCAAAAUGGUCCAAAGGUCUGGAACUCUGAAGUCAUUAAAGGAAAACUGAAGGAAGACACUUUAGAAGUGUGAGUAUAGGCACAGACUUUCUGGGAAAGACUGUAAUCGCUCAGGAAAUAAACCCGAGAAUUGACCACUGGGAUUGCUAAACUUGAAGUUUCUGUACAGCAAAGAAAAUGAGUGCUGAGACAGCCUACACACUGGGAGAAAUACUGCUAGGUAUACAUCCGACCGAAGAUUACUAUCCAGAACGUAUGAAGAACUCAGACCACAAUACCACCCCUACAACAACCCAGCCAAUAAAUGAGCUAAUGAAAUAAGCAGUUCUCAAAAGAUGAAAUGAAACGGCCGAGAAACAGGAAAAAUGGCCAACAUCCCUCCCAGUCAGGGAGGUACAAAGUAAAAACCACACCACGAUUCCAUCUCGCCGUGAUCAGAACAGCUUCAGAAAGAAAACAGUGAAUGCUGGCAAUUGUGCCAGAAAGAGGGGCGCUCGUAUCUGUUGCUAGGAAUGUGAAAGGAUUCAGCCACCAUGAAAGUCAGCACGAAGUUCCUCAAAGAACUAAAACUAGAACUACCAAUGACCAAGCCAACCACUUCGGGGAAUAUGCCUGAAGAACUCUAAAUCAACAGAGAUAGACGAACAUUGGUGUUUACCGAUGACCAAUAACCAAGUUAGGAAAUCAGCCUAGAUGUCCUUCAACAGAUAAAAGGAUAAAGAAAGUGUCUGUAGGGUGUGUGUGUGUGUGUGUGAGUGGGUGAUAAACAAAGUGUGUUGUGUUUGUAUACACACACAUAUAUGCACAUAUACAUAUAAUGGAGUUUUAUUCGAUCAAAAAGAAGAAUGAGAUUAUGUCAUUUGCUGGAAAACAGAUGCAACUGGAGAUAAUCAUAUCAAGUGAAAUAAGAUUCAAAGAGACAAAUAUUGCAUGUUUUCUCUCACCUGUGGAGCACAGCUUUUUUUAUAGAACAUUAAGAUGUGUGUGCAUACACAUAUAUUAGCAUUUACACACAAAUUUGGUGUGGAAGCACAAGAGAAACUUGGAAGGAGGCUAGUGGGAAAGUGGAGAGGAGAGAGGAGAGAGAGGCAGAGGUGUGUGUGUGUGUGUCACGGUCAGAACCCAUGAUAUAAUAGAAAGAAAUCGUAUUUAUUAAACCAAGCACUGUAUACAGUGAAUUUGCAUCAAUUUUAAAAAUAAAAAGAAUGAAAGAAAAGAAAAUUUGAAAGCAUGGCUGCAGACGUGUCACACUUGUCUAGCACGUGCACGCCCCUGGGUUCAACCCCAGCACCCCCAAAUGAUAGCAAUAUGAAGAGGGAGAAAGAAGAAGAAGAAGAAAAGGAAGGGGAGGAGGAAG
Molecule: long non-coding RNA, 2063 nt
Organism: Peromyscus californicus insignis
Lineage: Eukaryota; Metazoa; Chordata; Mammalia; Rodentia; Cricetidae
Exons: 5
Source: RefSeq, a predicted model, not a curated record